GGCGGGAUGGCAGAGUGGUUAUGCAGCGGCCUGCAAAGCCGUGUACCCCAGUUCGAUUCUGGGUUCCGCCU
RNAcentral lists this transfer RNA (71 nucleotides) under Polynucleobacter victoriensis. It matches the Rfam family "tRNA". Rfam says of the family: Transfer RNA (tRNA) molecules are approximately 80 nucleotides in length. The record is from Rfam by way of RNAcentral. Lineage: Bacteria; Pseudomonadati; Pseudomonadota; Betaproteobacteria; Burkholderiales; Burkholderiaceae.